AUUAAGCCUCAGCUCCAGCUCUCUGUAUUGCACUCACUAGUCAUCAGGUUGGAAGGUCCUGGGUUCCUGUGUCCUGUUGGGCCACCGCAUGAUAGAACUUUAAUGCUACUUCCUGGCAUAGCAGGAGAUGAAAGAGCAGGGGGAAGAAACAUCAAUCUAACCACGAAUUUUAUUUCCUUGUGUUUCUGAUGCUAAAAAUGGAGAGGAAGUCAAACUAGACAAGAGGGAAGUCUCCAUGAAGUGUGGAAAACAAGCUCCUUGAUUGUGGAUGUGCAGAGCUGCCUGUUGAGUCUGAGGAGUCUGGCAUGUGACACACUGCAGACCUGAGACAAGAAGCCUUGUUGCUAUGGAUGACUUUUAGUGACCUAUAAAUUUUGCAGGCGCGCCACAGCACUCUAUUAUUGCUUUCUUUCUCUGAGUCACUAAUUAGAUCCUGAUGAUUUCCAUGUGAAACCAUGAGGACUGGGAGAUGCAAAAUGGUCUUGCUGUGUAGAUUCAUGAAUGCUGGACUGUUGGAGGAUAUCUGAGUGUGCUUUGCAUACUUGGCUUAAUUUGUUUUUUUUUUAACUAAAAGUAGUUGUAGGUGAAAUGAUUACUUAGGUAAUUGUUUUGGUAAAUGGCUUGAAGUUGAACCACAGCAGUUUUGCUAUUUGGAAAAAAACAAAAUGAAAAAAAUAUCAUUCUAAUUUCAGUUUAUUUGGUUUACUGACCCAGUUUUGGCUAGGGGUUAUUGAAUCUAGUGAGAAUUAUUUUAAGCACCCCCCAAAGAAGGAAAGAUAUGAAGUCCAGAGAAGGAUAAUUAUAUUGUAAAAAUAAAAAUUUAAUGACGUUUA
Molecule: small RNA, 833 nt
Filed under: Pan troglodytes (chimpanzee)
Lineage: Eukaryota; Metazoa; Chordata; Mammalia; Primates; Hominidae
Description: sense intronic
Source: RNAcentral